AGAGUUUGAUUAUGGCUCAGGAUGAACGCUAGCGACAGGCUUAACACAUGCAAGUCGAGGGGCAGCAUAAAAGUAGCAAUACUUUGGUGGCGACCGGCGCACGGGUGAGUAACGCGUAUGCAACCUACCUAUCAGAGGGGAAUAACCCGGCGAAAGUCGGACUAAUACCGCAUAAAACAGGGGCACCGCAUGGUGAUAUUUGUUAAAGAAAUUCGCUGAUAGAUGGGCAUGCGUUCCAUUAGGUAGUUGGUGAGGUAACGGCUCACCAAGCCGACGAUGGAUAGGGGAACUGAGAGGUUGGUCCCCCACACUGGUACUGAGACACGGACCAGACUCCUACGGGAGGCAGCAGUGAGGAAUAUUGGUCAAUGGGCGGGAGCCUGAACCAGCCAAGUCGCGUGAAGGAAGAAGGAUCUAUGGUUCGUAAACUUCUUUUGCAGGGGAAUAAAGUGCAGGACGUGUCCUGUUUUGUAUGUACCCUGAGAAUAAGGAUCGGCUAACUCCGUGCCAGCCGCCGC
RNAcentral lists this ribosomal RNA (518 nucleotides) under uncultured bacterium. RNAcentral's name for it is "bacterial SSU rRNA". It matches the Rfam family "Bacterial small subunit ribosomal RNA", at positions 8 to 518 of the family's 1533-position model. The record is from RNAcentral.